This is a non-coding RNA of Pelobates cultripes (western spadefoot toad), 308 nucleotides long. Lineage: Eukaryota; Metazoa; Chordata; Amphibia; Anura; Pelobatidae. The record is from the annotation of a GenBank genome assembly.
GUUCACUCACUAGCAGGCACACACACAAGCUCACUCACUUGAAGGCAGGCACACAUGCAAUCUCACUCACUAGCAGACACACACACACACAAGCACACAAGCUCACUCACUAGCAGGCACACACACAUGCAAGUUCACUCACUAGCAGGCACACACACAAGCUCACUCACUUGAAGGCACACACACAUGCAAGCUCACUCACUAGCAGACACACACACACUCACACUCACAAGCUCUCUCACCAGCAGCCACACACACAGACACACAAGCUCUCUCACUAGCAGGCACACAUACACGCACACAAGCUC